Molecule: ribosomal RNA, 445 nt
Filed under: uncultured bacterium
Lineage: Bacteria
Description: partial 16S ribosomal RNA
Rfam family: Bacterial small subunit ribosomal RNA
Source: RNAcentral
GUGAGGAAUAUUGGUCAAUGGGCGGAAGCCUGAACCAGCCAAGUCGCGUGAAGGAAGAAGGAUCUAUGGUUUGUAAACUUCUUUUGAAGGGGGAUAAAGUGGGUUACGUGUAACCCAUUGCAGGUACCCUUGGAAUAAGCAUCGGCUAACUCCGUGCCAGCAGCCGCGGUAAUACGGAGGAUGCGAGCGUUAUCCGGAUUUAUUGGGUUUAAAGGGUGCGUAGGUGGCUUUUUAAGUCAGCGGUGAAAACUGGCGGCUCAACCGCAAGAGUGCCGUUGAAACUGGGGAGCUAGAGUAUGAACGAGGUAGGCGGAAUGUGUGGUGUAGCGGUGAAAUGCAUAGAUAUCACGCAGAACUCCGAUAGCGAAGGCAGCUUACCAGGCCAUAACAGACACUGAAGCACGAAAGCGUGGGGAUCGAACAGGAUUAGAAACCCCAGUAGUCC